RNAcentral lists this transfer RNA (68 nucleotides) under Thelenota ananas. Its description in RNAcentral is "tRNA-Ser". Lineage: Eukaryota; Metazoa; Echinodermata; Holothuroidea; Aspidochirotida; Stichopodidae. The record is from RNAcentral.
GAGCUCUAUGUGAAUAUUCUUGGCCUGCUAAGCCAAAGAAUCCGUGGUUUAACUCCAUAGAGAGCUCG